AGCUGCUGAUGACACACAGGAAGUCUGCAGAGCUUAUGGAGGUAUCAGAAGGGCGGCUAUUUGUCAGGACUGGGUUUACUUGGGAGUGGAGUUCUGCAAACUACAUAGGACCACGUCUGAAUCAUCCUGCUGGAGGAGGAAAGACCAGGCAGAGCUGAGUUAUCAGUCAAGGUUAUCCUGGAUCACUGCAUCCUUGAACAUGCAAGAUAAAAGACAUCAGUGACUUCCCGAAUGCCUGUGUCAGCUUGUUGGUGACAAGAGAUGCUGAAUGAGACACUAUUAUGGCUUAAAGUAUUACAGGAGACAAAAUUAGUUCACAAAGAUUGAACGGAAAAGCAGAAAGAGAAGACCACAAGUGAGAAGGAAGCUGUCACCAGUUUUGAUGCUGUCUUUGUAGACAACUCCCCACUGAGUGACAGAACUGAUGAGCUCCGCACUCCCUAGGAAGAACCCAAGUGUUCCAGGCAAUGAAAAAUCAAAGCAACUGAAGAGCUGCAAAUGCUCUCCAGCCAUCAGCCUGCAGCACAGUUGUGAGGUGCAGAUUAUUAUGCAAGCUGGUAGGCAAAACAUGAUGAGGAAUUGGAGUUAACUUUGGGGAUGUGCAGGUGUUUGCCAUUCAUUCAUUUACUCAUGCAAGUCUGUUGUAAGAUGGAUCAAGAGCCACAAGUGUGAUAUCAAAUUCGCACUCACGCAGCCAGCCAUUCAUCCAUUCACUUAAGAUAUUUAUUGAGAUAAUGCACUGCACACUAGAAAAACAAACAUGAAAAAGAACAUGAUCCCUGUGUUCCAGAAAAAAUAGGGUAGAUGAAAGAGACAUAGAGGGAAGCUAGCACUUACAAUAAUGGGAGCCAUCAGAAAGGAGCUGGGGGGGGUACUGCUUUUUCCUGUCAAAUUCUGCAUGCAUGGAGAAGCACAAGGGAGAUAUGUGAGCAGCAACACAUCAGCUCAGGAGAAAAAUGAGAUUGGAGGAUGUGAUAUCAGUUCUGCCACCCAGAAGCCUACUUGCAACACAUCAGCCAAAACAUACUCUCCCAGCCUCUGCACAGUGGGACAGCCAGAUCCACCCCACAGCCACAGGGACAAGCUCUUACAUCUGGUAGAGGGCAGAGCAGAACACCUAUCUCUUGCAGAUGGUCAAGGCUGGAAAGAGGCUAGAAAGAAGAAAGAGAAGAAGUAGCCAAGGUAAACUCAGUCAGCCCCUUCUCCCAGUCCAUGCAUUGAUGCCUUACUCUCCCUCCUGUGAGGAGGAGCGGAGGAGGGAUAGAGAGGCUGGGUGCAGUAAUCAUCCAUUCCUGCCUUAUUACAGGAAUAGAAAGCUACACUGUGUGAAGACUUUUUCCCUAAAGUUUUGGUGUAGCACAGAAGAAAGCCCUGCCUGAUCUAGACCUGAGGAUAAACGCAGGUUUCACUUAGGAGGUCACACGUACUAAUGGCUGAAGAAGAGCAGCACAGGAAAGAAAACAGAGUGUUAUUAGCUUUCAUAAAGGAAAUUAACCAAGAAUUGGUUUACAAACAGGUAGCAUCUAAAGGAGAUGAGGACUAGUAGGUGUAUUGCAACAAGCAGAAAGGCUUGGCAAACUCAUUGAAGAGAGGAAAGGCUAUUACUUGCCAUAUCGUGAUAAGAAGGCCUACAGGCAAGACUUUGGCACACAUAGGCAAAGGCAAGGACUUUCUUAGCAGAACCCCAAGUGCACAAGAGAUAACAUCAACAAUCAAUAAAUUGGAUUGUUUCAAAUUAAAAAAAGCUUCUGCAUAGCAAAGGAAGCAACCAACAGAGUGAAGUGACAAAUUAUCUUUUCCAUGGGUGUCCCAGCCAGAGGACUAAGAGCUAGAAUAAAUAAAAAAUGAAAAAUAUUAGAUUUCAGAAGAAAAAGACACAAUUAAA
Fukomys damarensis (Damara mole-rat) is the source of this 1885-nucleotide long non-coding RNA. RefSeq lists it as uncharacterized. The record is from RefSeq and is a predicted model, not a curated record. NCBI's taxonomy places the organism in Eukaryota, Metazoa, Chordata, Mammalia, Rodentia, Bathyergidae. The transcript has 3 exons.